UGGAAACUUAUUUUUGUAAUGGCAGAAAAUUGGAUAGAGAGUGCAAAAAGAUUUACUGCCUACCCUGCAUUGCUUACUUGCUGUAUUUUUUGGAAGUUACAGAAGGAGGUGGUGGUUAAGAGUGUUAAGACAGGAUGAAGAAAGAGGUCUAUUACUACCAGUGAGGGUGCAUUUUUAAUGGAUCUUGUAGCAGACAUAUUAAAAUGGAUAUAUUAAUAAAAGGCAGUACCUGCUGUUUUGUCUUUGUAGGAGGAACAGGAAGAAAAUUACCUUCAAGAAAUGGUUGAAUGUAGAAUUUUUAAAGGUCUAGAGAGGUUAUGUCAGACAGGACUGGUAAUGCCAUGCAACCAUAAUGGAUGCACUCUUCUAAAUGAAAAUAAUUUGGAGUGGCAAAUGUAGAAAUGGUGGCAGAAUAAGUAUAAAUAAGACAAAGAAGGCUGAGGUCCAUGUGGAAUCAAUUGUGGCAAUGGAUGUCAGGGACAGCAGGAAAUAUAUGUCAAUAACAAAAGGAGAAUUAAGGAUAACACGAGCCUGUUGGCAAAUGAAGGGUGGGCCCUGAUAACAGAGGCGCUGAAUGCCUUUUUUUGCAUUGGUCUUUACUGACAAGACCAGCCAUCAGGAAGCCCUGACCUGGGAGCCCAGGGUAAAGGAGUGUUGGAAGACUUUUCCUUGGCUAAAGAGGAUUGGACUAGAGGGCAUCCACAAGUCCGUGAGCCCAGGCAGGAUGCCUCCAUGAGUGCUGAGAGAGCUGGCAGAUACCGUACCGGGCUACUCACAAUCAUCUUUGUGGCAACGAGGAGAGGUACCUAAAAGUUUGGAAUGUGAAUGUGACCUCAGCCUUCAAAAAUGGCGAGAAGGAGAACCUAAGGAGCUACUGACCAUUCAGCUUCACCUGAGCUCCUGGAAAGGGAAGGAGUACCUCAUUCUGGAGGCCUGCUGGAAAGCAUCUCUGUAGAGAAGGACCUGGGAGCCCUGGUGGACAACAAGCUGUCCAUGAGCCAGCAGUGCCCUUGUGAACAAGAAGGACAAUGGGGUCCUGUGCUGCAUUAAGAAGGGCACUGCCAGCAGGUCAAGAGAUGUGAUCCUGCCUCUCUGCUCAGCCCUGGUGAGGCCACAACUAGAGUGCUAUGUCCAGUUCUGGGCUCCUCAGGACAAGACAGACAUGGAGCUCCUGGAGUGGGUCCAGCAAAGGGCUACGAAGAUGGAGAGGGGAUUGAAAAGUCUCUCUUACAAGGAAAGACUGAGGGAGCUGGGCCUGUUCAGCCUCAAGAAGAGACCACUGAGAGGGGGACCUCAUUAAUAUAUUUAAGUAUCUUAAGGGAGAGUACCAAGAGGAUGGAGCCAGGCUGUUCUCUGCCAAAGCAAUAGACCAAGAGGCAAUGGGCAGAAACUGAUGCACGGCAAAUUCCGGCAGAACAAAAGGAAAAAGAUACGUUUAUACUCUGUGGCUGAGUGUGCACUGUAGCAGUUGUCAGAGAGGUUGUGGAAUCUUGCUCACUGCAGAUAUUUAAGAACCACCUGGAUGCAAUCCCAUGCCAUGUGCUCUAGGAUGACCCCACUUGAGCAUUAAGACACUCAAGCUGCCUGAAUUGGAGCGCUGCCUGAAGGGACAGCCAUGAAAGCCAAGUGGAAAACACAGUACCAGCUACUUCCAGAUGGUUUUCCAGAAGAACAAGCACAGAUAUGGUAUGGACAAAAUUGUCUCUACUGCAUAAACCAGGUUUCCUCAUGCAUGGUUUUGUGGAACUUUAGGAAAUUGAAAUGAACGGUAUAUAUGGUGAAUUUUGUUGCUCUGUUUGCUUGUCCUCUGAACUCCCUUCAAACUGUUGCCUACAGUGUGCUCUCCAAGGCUCUACGUAGCCUAGUUUUGAACAAAGCAUGAAACUGGCAUCUGUCCUUUCUGCCUAAAAACUGUCCCAUCAUUUCACAGUUCUCUCUUAGUCAGAGCUUGUAGCUGAGAAAUGUUUCAGUACUGUCCUAUUUUUCCUGUUACAACUGUGUGACUUUUCCCAGAAGAAUACAUAGGAGUGUGUGUGUGUGUGUGUGACUGGUUCUCCCGUCUGAGCAUUAACCAGAUUGCAAUGUGAGCUGAGACUUGGAAGUGUGGAUUGAAGAAAAAGUGAUGACAAUCACUGUUGGUAGUUACCAUUUGUCAAGCAUAAAAUAUACUUCCAUUUUGCCAGUCUUUUCCCUGUAAAGCCAGUGAUGCUGUCAGCCUGGCUGGUCCCUGGGGCCUGCUGCUGAUCAAAAGCUGCUGCUUUACCCUGCACCUUUGGGAUGACUCUGACCAAGAUCUCCAGACCCAGACCAGUAUCUAAACCAUGCUCCUCCUGUGAUAACAGUCAUUGCAGCAGCACAAAUCCAACUUCCCGUGUCUUUUCUAUCCCAUCAUGUCCUACCCAUGUGCAAGUCCCAGUAUUAGCAGAAACAGGCAGCAAAUGGACUGCCUGAUUUGCUGAAGCCAGAUCUCUAAGUAUCACUUGGCUGUAUGAUGGUGUGCUGCUGCUGCACAGCUGGGCCUUGAAGUUCUCAGCUAUUGUUGAAGGAAGUGCAUGAAAUGAGUAGGUCACUUUGGUUAUGUGCCAGUUCAAAAGCCUGCUGUCUUCAGGAGUUAUGGCAGACUUUUUCAACAACUUCCUUAUUUGCAGAGGGUUGUCUUUGUCUUGUAAUGCAAGAUCAGGGAUCCACCAAACCUGCAACAGGUACAGAGCCAGACCCACAAUGUAUCACAUCAUGCCUUCCAUCGGAUCCUGCUGUGAGUGGUUGCAGCAAGCUGCCCUCGACCCUGCCUCCCACCCAACUUCUUGGCUCGCCACCAUGUUAAGGCUGCCUGAAACUCAGCACCUGGCUGAGAAGCUUCGCAAAAGAGCUGUUUUAGCCUUCAGAAGUUUAAAUACUUACAUUAAAUUCUCACUAUAGUAGGCUUUGAUUUUGCUGACCACACUUUAGCGAAGUCCUUGCUUCUGUGUGUGAUUAAUAUUUAGCGCAGAUGGAAGAAGUUUGUCUUCGGAGGGAUUUGAGCAAGAAGCAAAAGAUGAAGCAAACUUGGCAAACAGUCCCAUCCACUGUCAUGUUAUCAGGGUUGCUCUGGGGAAGGUAGGGGUGGUGACUUUGGGUUUUGCAGGAAAUCAGUGAUAGAACUCAUCACAGCCCAGCCCUGACUUCUAUUCCUACAAGAAUACAGCUUUUUUUUCCAUCAUCUCUUGUAACAAAUUGCCUCAUUUAGUCUGGCUCCAGAAAAUAAAUACUGAUGACACAUCUCUUUUACAAGGCAAAGUAGAAAAGUACUUUUAAAUUUCUCUCUCACACAUUUUUUCAGAAUUUUGUUUUGUGUUUGAUAUUUCUGGAUUUAGCAUAGAGUUCAAAAGCAGUCUUAGUCCUCAUGUUUUUUCCUGUUCUUCAUAGAUCUGUUUGGCAAACAGUCCUAAAAUUGCCAGAGCUGGUAGUAGAUACAGGCACAGCUCGCUGCUACCUGCUAUUCUGUGAAGACUUUUAGUUUCCUGCUUGGAAACAAUCAUGCUAACAGCCAGCUCCAGGGAGUUGAGGAUGAAAAUAGCUUGAGUCUGCCUUCCUCCUGCUAGACCAGAACUGUUAUCUCUCAUUCACUCGCUAUUGCUUUGUCCAACUUAAUUUAAAUGUACCAAGCAGUAGAGCUUCUGUAACAUUACUUUUGAGAGACAAUUUUGUAUAUCUCACCGCAAAUAAGUCCUUCCUCAAACUCCACAUUUUCCCUUCCUAUCUUUACCCCUGAAUGCUAAUUUAAUCCUGGUGUAUUUUGCUGAUUGUGUCCUUGCUCUUCAUAAUAUGUAACCCUCUCAGGUCUUUCCUGUCAUCACUUGACUGUGCUACAAGCAUUAACCCCUUGGGCCUUAGUCUUCCGUUUGUAAGCAAUUCAAGUUUUGUCAACAGCUUAGGAGACAACACCACAAAUCUUCAAACCUGCCUCAUAGGAAAGGAAAUUAUUCUUUGAACCACCCCAGUAAAAAAAAAGGAGAAAAAUGUCAGCACAAACAGAAAUUUUCUUCCUUUGGGGAAGUAACAUAGGUAAUCAAUGUUAGUUUUGAUGAGAAAUUGCAAAAUAAAGCUGCUUUGUUUUUAGCAGUCCACCUUGACCUUUUUUGCAGUCAUUCAUUGCAUUGUGUUUAGUUUGUUCCUCUACUUCCACUAACUUCCAGCUACAUUAGCUAAUGAAAGGGUGCUUAGCCAGGCAGAUCUUUAAAUGCUUGCAGCAUCCAAAAGUAAGAAGGUUAAUAGUCCAAAUGCUCUAGCGUUUGAAGAUGCUUAUAGCAUAAAAGCUUUCUUUUGCAUUUUUAUUGCUUUAGAAGCCACAGUAGAUGAUUGGAAAAUACUUUGAGGACACAAGUUUGGCAUGUGUUGAAAGACACAUCUCUGCAGUGGUGCAUGUGCUGUGUUUCUUGGGGCAGGGUUGAAGGACUCCAGGGGUCUUAGGAUCCAGGAGUUCCCAUUAAACACUCACUGCAGUAGCUGGUUGGGAGAGUAGGUCUUUGCCUAUGAAUCUGCUUAUUCAAACAGAAUCCUCUGAAUUGCUGUAGGGGAAGAACAGAGUACUUGGGGGUAUUUAAAAGGUCAUCUUCCAUGACCAACUGUGGUACAUCACCAGUCGCUGUCUGUAUGGACGCAGAUUCCUUUUGUCACUGAUUGUUCACCCUUACCCUGUUCUGAAUCUGAGUAUUUUGUUAUCU
Passer montanus (Eurasian tree sparrow) is the source of this 4703-nucleotide long non-coding RNA. RefSeq lists it as uncharacterized. Lineage: Eukaryota; Metazoa; Chordata; Aves; Passeriformes; Passeridae. The transcript has 3 exons. The record is from RefSeq and is a predicted model, not a curated record.